AUUGAACGCUGGCGGCAUGCCUUACACAUGCAAGUCGAACGGUAACGGGUCCUUCGGGAUGCCGACGAGUGGCGAACGGGUGAGUAAUGCAUCGGAACGUGCCCAGUAGUGGGGGAUAGCCCGGCGAAAGCCGGAUUAAUACCGCAUACGACCUAUGGGUGAAAGCGGGGGACCGUAAGGCCUCGCGCUAUUGGAGCGGCCGAUGUCAGAUUAGGUUGUUGGUGGGGUAAAGGCCUACCAAGCCGACGAUCUGUAGCUGGUCUGAGAGGACGACAGGCCACACUGGGACUGAGACACGGACCAGACUCCUACGGGAGGCAGCAGUGGGGAAUUUUGGACAAUGGGCGCAAGCCUGAUCCAGCAAUGCCGCGUGCAGGAAGAAGGCCUUCGGGUUGUAAACUGCUUUUGUACGGAACGAAACGGCCUGGGUUAAUACCCUGGGCUAAUGACGGUACCGUAAGAAUAAGCACCGGCUAACUACGUGCCAGCCGCCGCCGUAA
This 500-nucleotide ribosomal RNA is filed under the name uncultured bacterium. RNAcentral describes it as "partial 16S ribosomal RNA". It matches the Rfam family "Bacterial small subunit ribosomal RNA", at positions 30 to 523 of the family's 1533-position model. The record is from RNAcentral.